This is a long non-coding RNA of Etheostoma spectabile (orangethroat darter), 200 nucleotides long. RefSeq lists it as uncharacterized. The record is from RefSeq and is a predicted model, not a curated record. Lineage: Eukaryota; Metazoa; Chordata; Actinopteri; Perciformes; Percidae. The transcript has 3 exons.
CCAAAGACCUGGAUCGAUAUGCAGAGACCUUCUGCCAGACCGCUGGAGGGAAUCUGGCUUCCAUCCAUUCAGCGAGGAACAUAAAAUUUAUCAGAGACUACAUUAACCAAGUGUCCACUACAAACAAUAUACCUGGAUCGGAGGCUUUGACGCAGUGAAGGAGGGUACGUGGUUGUGGUCUGAUGGAUCCAAAUUUGACU